RNAcentral lists this long non-coding RNA (18622 nucleotides) under Zea mays. RNAcentral describes it as "long non-coding RNA (ZMAY_LNC002676)". The record is from RNAcentral. Lineage: Eukaryota; Viridiplantae; Streptophyta; Magnoliopsida; Poales; Poaceae.
CGGCGUCAGCGGCUUCUCGAACAGGUGCUCCUUCUCGUAGUGGUGGUGCUGCUGGUGGUGGUAGUGUAGGUUGGUGUACAUGGCCACGCCCCAGGGCCAGGCCUGCGGGUGCUGGUGCUGCCCUUGGGAGAGAUGGUUCGUGGCCAUUUCUUGUGCAGCGAGGAAAGCUCUUGGGUGGCGGCGGUGGUGGGGAGUAGAGUAGCGCAGCGCAGUGAUGGUGUGUGUGUGUCGCGUAGAGAACCAUGCAGGUGUCUUGGCCAGGCAUUUAUAGCCCAAGAGCAGGAGGACUUUUGGGACGACGACGGAGCUAGCUAAGCUAGCUAGCGUCUACGCGAGACGUAGUAUUAAUAUUCCCCCCCCCCCCCCCCCCCCCCCUGCUGGUACUACACAACAUGAGGUCUUGAUGCGUUUGAUCUGGCUAUUAGCAUGGAGAAGGCUAGAGAGACAGGAGGAAUCAAAGUGUGAAGGGCUUCAGAGGUGGGCGUGAGGCAGGUUAUAAAAUAUGUAGUAGUAGGCUGGUGGUGAGGCCGGGCCGGGACGACGAUCAGGUGGUGUACGUGGUGCUACUUCAAAGUUAGUGCCUGGACUGGACAUUGUGUGUGUGUGGCCUAACCACAGCCAUCCAGGGAGAGGGAGGUGGUGUAGGCCCUACCAUUUUGCUUUCCAUGUGCUCUGGUGGUGGUUGGAGCCUAGACGUACCACUGUCAUUAGCACAUUUAGCUACCCGGACCGUUUUUAACCCCGGCCGUCGAUCUUGGAUGGAUGGACGGUGAGAGGAAGUCAUGAGCAUUAUCCCAUCGUCCCAUAGAUUGGCAGCAGUUUCUUCAUGCCCCUGUGGUCCGCAUGCAUUGGGAUAGCUGGUGGACAGUUACGUGUCAAGGGUACUACUGCUACUGCAUGCAUGAUCUCGCAGGCCAGGCCAGGCCGGUGUGACAUCUGGGGCAUGUUUGGUUCCCUACCUAACUUGCCACACUUUGCCUAACUUUUCUGCCUAAGGUUAGUUCUUCAAUUUGAACGACUAACCUUGGGCAAAGUGUGGCGUAGUUAGCCACGAACCAAACAGGCCCCUGAUCGAGGCGCGCGCGUAUGCUCUAACUAUCCACGCACUGUUUUCUACUCGUACCGCCAGCCAUGCAUUUUUUUUUCUGAUCCCAGAUUCAAUACGACCAAGGGGUUCUGCUAGACCUGUCUCAUUCAAUAAUGAGGAUAUAUCUGGUGCACAUGGAAGCUUAGUGCACAUGAUACACAUAUUAAAUCAUAAUCAUCCAUCUUAGAUCUAACAUAUCUUGUUAAUCAUUGCAAUUUACAAAUAACACCUUCUAUCACUACGUCCCACCACGUCAGAGGGUGUACUUAGCAAAAUAUAUAUAGAUCUAAAAUGAGUUGUGAUGAUUUAAUAUGUAUAAUAUGCACUACCGGAAUCCGAGGCUUUGCCGAGUGUUGGCCGCUUUGCCGAGUGCCUUUUGUCGGGCACUCGGCAAAGACGGCUUUGCCGAGAGCCGCCCUCGGUAACGUUAGGCUCUCGGCAAAGAGCCACUUUACCGAGUGCUGGACACUCGGCACAGGUGCACACUCGGCAAAGACACAUUCGACACAGGGCAGACACUCGGCAAAGAUAACUCCUUUGCCGAGUGUCACCAGGGACACUCGGCAAAGCCGCCGUCUCCGUCACCCGGCGCCGUAACGACUGCUUUUCUUUGCCGAGUGCUCUCUGACACUCGGCAAACCUCUUUGCCGAGUGCCCGAGAAAAAGCACUCGGCAAAGAAGGCUUUGCCGAUGCACUGUUUGCCAAGCCUUCUUUGCCGAGUGCCACACUCGGCAAAGCCUUUGCCGAGUGCCACACUCGGCAAAGCCUUUGCCGAGUGUUUUUAAGGCUUCGCCGAGUGCUUCAGGCACUCGGCAAAGCGAUUGAUUCCGGUAGUGAUGUGCAUUAAACUUCCAUUUACACCAGAUACGUUCUCUUCAAUAAUAGGUGGCCGCUGACCACACCCAAUAGGGCAGCAAUGCAAGCAGGCUGCUUCCAUGCAAACAAGCUGGUUCUGGCUGGAUUCUUUACACAACUCAUGCAAUUGGCUGUAACAUACUACUAUAUUUUUCUCACUCAACCCGUUCUUGCAGGACAACCUGUGCCUGCCUCCGUCGAGGACGCUAUAUGGCGGACACCAACCAACUGCAAAUUAAAAGAGAGAAUACUUCUCUAAUCUCUCUGUGUUAGAGAGCACCUCCUGUUGUUGGAGGAUCGGGAUGCAGGACGACGCAAGGUAUACGAUCUGUUUUCCCUGCGUUUUUAAUGACAGAUCUCUGUAUCAAGCGCGCCGGUAUAAUAUAUUUUUCCCCCCGUAUCAUUAUAUGGAGGGCGGAAAUCGGCGAUGUCGCUUUGCUUGGUACUUUGGAGACAAGCAUUCCGUCACAUGGUUCAGUCAGUACGUGGCUGGAUACAUUGUAUGCUGACUAAUAAGAUAUGCUAUUGUGGAGUAUUAUUCAGCUUGUCAACCUUUGGGAAACCGGAGGGGCCUGUAUGGGUUGUCCCUCUCGUUCUGUUAGUAGGUACGGUCAAGAGUCUCUAUAGUAGUGAUGACCGGACGGUAUCUUCAAAGGUGAUCACACCCUCUGUUCGUUCUGUUUGCUUGGCUCUUUCUAACAUUUAGAAUUAGAUUAGGUUAAGUUACUUCCAUACAUUUCAAAGUCCAAGGGUCUAAAGUACUCUCGCUGCUCUCCGUAUUUACGGGUGAAGGCUUACGUCGGUUUAUCUUUUUUUUCCAGACUCCAUUCAUGCAUAUGGGGUGCCUGCCUUUGACACUAGAUCUACUCUAUCGUAUAUUUGAAAACCAUAAGUCUCUAUUUUUUUCCUGACUCAGACUCUUUUUCUUUCCGAUCUAAUAAGGACCAGAGAAUUGGGGAUAUGUGUGACGUGAUUAUUAAUCUCACGUGGCAUUAUGCUUUCUGCUCCUCCUCCUCCUCUGUGGCUUCAAGUUCCCAAGCAUCACAAUAUUCGAGCAUUGGAAUGGGAAGUAUAUAUAGGAUCAAGAUUGGACCUGGACAAAGAUCUGCCCGCCCUUAGCCUGUCCGUCCAAUUUCCGAAAGCCUUUCGACUCAGACGGUAUGAUUGUUGUCCCUCCUUUCUCCGUUUAUGCAUCUAUAUACACUCGCAGUCCCCUUGCCUCUCUCUCUCUCCAUUUGAUGCAAAUCCCCAUAUAUACGUUACUCUUAACUUUCGUUGUUUCCUGUGUUCAUGAACUUUGGAACGCGCAGCAGUUGAAGUUGUUGCCACUCACCUUGCUGCAUGCAUGUACAGAUGCACUGCUGCAAAAGACGAGUGUACUCGAUGGCAUGCAUGCAUGGCAACGUCAGUAGGCCGGGUGGUGAUCUCGAUUCACUAGCAGAGAACAGUCGUUCGGGUUUUCCUACUAGUCUGGUCCCGGGCAGAGUUGGGCUCGGAACUCAUGGAAGCAUUAUUAGUCCUAGUUGCCAUCACCCGGGACUAAAAUUCCUGGCCAAAUGGUCAAGACCACAGGCUUUUUUACAGGAGGAACCUUGACUCCUUGAGUCCUGAUUGAGUGACGGGUGGCUUCAACCGUGACUGAACUAAACCCUUUAGGUCUAGUUUGGGAGCAAGGAUACCGGAGGGGAUUAGAUGGACUAAAUUUUCAUUCUAUUCAAUUUUGAAUAUUGUCGGCGUUUCGAGACCGGGGUCCCUCAGGCCGACGAGUGAGUGCCGCGUGCCCCAGCCCAGAUGGGUCGAGCGCGUGGGCGAGCACAAAGGGGGGAGAGGAGCGAGGCGGCCGGAGUCCGGCGUGAGAGUGGUGGGAAUCCCGCGGCCUUCGUGUUCGUCCCGCGCCCAGGUCGGGUGCGCUUGCAGUAGGGGUUACAAGCGUCCACGCGGGUGAGGGAAGCGAGCGGCCCCAAGGGAGCGCCUGUCUCGUCCUCGUCCUCGCGCGGCCAACCCUCUCUAAGAGGGCCCUGGUCCUUCCUUUUAUAGGCGUAAGGAGAGGAUCCAGGUGUACAAUGGGGGUGUAGCGAGGUGCUACGUGUCUAGCGGGUGAGAGCUGACGCCCUAAGUACAUGCCAAUGUGGCAGCCGGAGAGAUCUUGGCACCCUGCUGGUGUGAUGUUGUGGCCGUCGGAGGAGCGACGGUGCUUGGCGGAGGGACAGCUGUUGGAGCGGUCGAGUCCUUGCUGACGUCCGCCUGCCUCCGUAAGAGAGCUGGGGGCCGCCGUCGUCACAGAGCGUGCGGGGGCGCCAUCAUUGCCUAUCUGGCAGAGCUAGCCAGAUGGGACACCGGUCUUGUUCCCUACGACCCGAGGCGGCUCGGGGUAGGGUAAUGAUGGUGCCUCCUGUUGACGUGGCUGGCCCGCGCCCUAGGUCGGGCGACGUGGAGGCUCCUCCGAAGCUGAGGUCGAGUCUGUAUUCCGUGGCCGAGGCCGAGCCCCUAGGUCGGGCGAGGCGGAGGUCGUUCGGCGGAGGCCAGGGCGGAGUCCGAGCCCUGGGGUCGGGCGAAGCGGAGUUCGUCGUCUUCUGGGACUGAGCCCGAAUCCGAGCCCUGGGUCGGGCGGAGCGGAGUUCGCCGUCUUCCGGGACUUAGCUCGAGUCCGAGCCCUGGGUUGGGCGGAGCUUCCUAUGGCGCCUUUGGUAGGACCUGACCGCCUGUCAGUCUCACUCUGUCAAGCGGCGCUGUAGUCGGAGUGGCGCAGGCGGCGCUGCCCUUCUGUCAGACCGGUCAGUGGAGCGGCGAAGUGACGGCGGUCACUUCGGCUCUGCCGGGGGGCGCGCGUCAGGAUAAGGUGUCAGGCCACCUUUGCAUUAAAUGCUCCUGCGACUUGGUCGGUUGGUGCGGCGAUUUAGUCAGGGUUGCUUCUUAGCGAAGGCAGGGCCUCGGGCGAGCCGGAGAUGCGUCUGCCGUUGGAGGGGGGCCUCGGGCGAGACGGAAACCUUCCGGGGUCGGCUGCCCUUGUCCGAGGCUAGGCUCGGGCGAGGCGUGAUCGAGUCGCUCGAAUGGACUGAUCCCUGGCUUAAUCGCACCCAUCAGGCCUUAGCAGCUUAAUGCUGAUGGGGGUUACCAGCUGAGAAUUAGGAGUCUUGAGGGUACCCCUAAUUAUGGUCCCCGACAGUAGCCCCCGAGCCUCGAAGGGAGUGUUAACACUCGUUUGGAGGCUUUCGUCGCACUUUUUUGCAAGGGGACCAGCCUUUCUCGGUUGCAUUUUGUUCCGGUGGGUGCGCGCGAGCGCACCCGCCGGGUGUAGCCCCCGAGGCCUCGGAGGAGUGUUUUCACUCCUUCGAGGUCUUAAUGCCUCGCGUAAUGCUUCGGCUGGCCUGGUUGUUCCCUCAUGCGAACUGGCCGUAGCCCGGGUGUACGGUCGGGGCCCAAGUUCUCGGGCUGGUAUGUUGACGCUGUCAACGGUUUGGCCGGAGCCGGGUUUGCGAGAGCAGCCCCCGAGCCUCUGCACAGAGCGAGAGGGCGAUCAGGGACAGACUCGGCUUUUUGCAUACGCCCCUACGUCGCCUUUCCGCAAGGAGGAGGGGGGAAAGCGCCAUGUUACCCUCGAUGGGCACCGAACAUGGUGUCUCCGAUGAGCUGCAAGCGGGUAAUCCGAGUGGACGUCCGUGCCCCGUUCGUUAGGGGUCGGCUAGGGGCCCAGAGGCACGCCCAAAAGUACCUGCGGGUGAUCUGCCAGACCCGGUCCCCUGGCGACGGGGUCCGAGGGCUCGAUGCCUCCCUCUGGUGGGAUUCUGUUACAAGAUCGCUCCCGCUGGUCUCGGAAAUGUCCUAGGGUACCUCGGGAGCGCAGCCCGAGCCUCGGUUAUGUAUCGAACGUACCCCUGGUCAUCCCUCGCUCGGUGUCUGAGGCGACUGUGAACCCUUCGGGGGCCAGCCUUCGAACCCCUGAUCAGUAAUGGGCGCGGAGCCCGGGUAGCCUGAGGCGGUCGUGGAACCCUUCGGGGGGCCGGCCUUCGAACCUCUGACCAGUAGUGGGUGUAUGGCCCACGCGAUCUGAGGCGGCUGUUGAACCCCUCGGAGGGCCAGCCUUCGAACCUCUGAUCAGUAAGGAGGCUCGGAGCCUGGUUCCUUCACUGGGAAGGAUCCUUUUCGGGGUAUCCCCCUUUCCCGGUCCCUGUUGCAAGAGAGAGAAAGAGGAAAAAACGAAAAGGAUUCGAAAUCGAACGACGUGGCGUACCUUUUUUUGGUGCGGUUAUUUCGGCGAAGGCGAAGCGUCGCCUGCCUUUCCUGCGCCGCCUGUCCUGCCGCGGAGUUAAUGCGACGGGGCGAGUGGUUGGUGGGGCGGCCAUUGCGCGUGCGCGAGCCGUUCGAGGGACGGAUCACGGGCGCGUCGUCUUCACGCCGUGAGAGGGGGUUCUCUUGCUGCUCCCGGAUGGGACGUGAGCUUGGCUGACGACGUGACCGCUGCUCCCGCCCGCCUGCCACCGCCAUUACUGCCGGUCCACCUUUGGCCACAUUGACCGUCGCGCCAGGCUGGCGCUGCCGGGUCGUGCGCUGGGUCGCCUCGAGUCGCGGUGUUGGUUCCGCAAUCGAGGAGGCGCGGUGGUGGCGCAAGUGGCGGUGCAAUUGCUUGUAUGCAGCAUCCGGCGCGCCGGUUGCGUGACGCGUGGGCCUGGUCUUCCAUGCAGGCGUGUCAGGAGUCGGAGAAGUGCGUCCACCUGGCGCGGUUGCAUGCCGCCUGCAUGGCUGCCGGCCUCUUUCGCCCGUUGGUCUGGGCAAAAGUGGAGGGUCGCUUGUAACCGCCGGGCGGUCGUGCGCGCCGUGCGCGGCGGUUUGGCUUCUUCCGCUCUGAGCCGGCCUGCACGACAUGCGGGACCCAGCCCCCGCGCCGCAGGGGAGGGCCUUGGAGUGUGUUGGAGGAGCCUCAGCCCGUGACGGUUGGAGGCACAAGUAGGGAGAGUGGCCUUUAAAAGGAGGGCGACCCCCUUCGGAAGGCGACCAUGUCUUCUCCCUUCCUCAUGCACCGUGUCUUUCCAUCUUCCAAGCCCCUGGAUGGGGGAUGCCCGCCGUUUUUUCGCCUCAUCGUUGGAGGAACGCAACUCCGUGGGAGUUGGUACCUUUCAGCCAUCGUUCGGCUUCAAGGAUUUUCAUCAUGCAGCCCGGCCGCACCCCUCCACCGGCGGUCACCUAGGACGGUGACCUCCAACUUGGUGGUGGGGGAAAGCGAGCCGGGCUGCGGCCUCUGCCCCUCCCUCAGCCUCAAGGAUUUUCAUCACCGAGGCUAGGGAGGGGAGUGUGCCGAGUUGGGUCGGCCCCUGCGUGGGUGGCGGUCCGCUCCUUCACUCAGUGAUCGGAGGGAAGGGCAGUCGCUGUCCGCGGCGCUGGCAGCUGCCGCGUGCCUGGCUCUCGGACCCGAGUGGCUUCGGAGCCGCUCUCGGUGCCGGCGUCUGCCACGGCAGCUGGAAGAGGUUCUUCCGCCGACGAGAUAGCCGGGGCCGACCUCGGACCGACCUCCAACUCCGCGGCCUUCUGACCGUCCUUGCCUUACGAGUUUUUGGCACGGGUGGGCAGAAGUCGUCGUCGUCGCCGCUGCUGGAGCAGGUGACGGCGCGCCAUUCGUCGGUCUUCUGUUGCUCCGCAGGCCUACCCCUAUGGAGUGGGGUUGUUCGUACCUGCGGAGGGGGGGACCGGAGUUCCGUUUGUAAUGGCACUUCGAAUGCCAGUGUUUUUGUUCAUUGCGGCUUUCGGGGCCUGAACAUGUAUGUAAUUUUCGGCUCGGAGCCGUGUUUUUUCCUCAUUUUCGAGCACUAAGACUCGCCUGUUGAUUAUCUGAACCGCUUCACCAAGCAUGAGUCGCCCCGUGUCAAGGUGACGAGUGAGGUAUCCGUAGCCCGGAGGCGUAGGAGCCCCUCGGCUCGGUCGGCCUUGUUGUCUGAGGCUCCUCUAGCUUAGUUAAAGAACCCCUUGGCCGCUCUUCGACGAGCCGAGGCCAGGGGUAGCGAUAUCAGCAUGAACAGAGGCGGAGUCGGCUCGAAAAUGAAACCUAGUUGGCCGGAGCCAAGCCGGGUUGUCCGUUGGUGGGACCGACGCCGGAGUCGAUCAGUCGAGGCCUCGGGUCGGGCUGGCGCCCCUGGAAGAUGGUCGGCCGAGGCCCCAGGGGUAUCCGGCUGAGCCGCCUGCUCGGGCCGGAUUCCCGGAGAAGACCCUGGCGGCGAUGGCCCGGGCGUGGUGAUGACGUCGUCCUUCGGAGCGGAGGCCUUCGGACCGCGUCGCCGUCCGAGGCUAGGUCGAACCUCGCCGAAGGUGUCGUCGAUGCCGAGGGUGCUGCUGCCCCCUUCCAGCGUCAAGACCCGAGCCUACAGGAUCAGAAUGUCUUGUAGUGUGUGUCUUCUGCGACCGCCGAGGCCAGAAAACACACCCUCGCUGUGUUGUAAAGCUGCGUCUCCUUUCCUCUUGUUUCGGGUAUCUGGACUUUUUUGUCGGUAACAGGGACGUUUGUGCGAGCGAGAGUUGCUUCUCGCGGAAGGUGAUGAGUGAGGUAUCCGUAUCCCAGAGGCGUGGGAGUCCCUCGGCUCGGUCGGCCUUCCCGCUUACGCGUACUUUCACCCGUCCAUGGGGCCCUAUCACCGACUCAGUCUAGAAGGCCCGAAGGAUCGCUUCGGCAGAAGAGCUUCCAAACGUAAAGACUUGUUCGAUCCGCGGAGUCGCUUUAUCCGAACGCGAGUUACUUAUCGCAGAAGGUGAUGAGUGAGGUAUCCGUAUCCCGGAGGCGUAGGAGUCCCUCGGCUCGGUCAGCCUUGGCUGCUUACGUGUACUCCGUCGUUUUCAGGAUCUGCUUCUCGAAGUAGUCAGAAAGCACGAAAGAUAUUCUGACAGAAGAAAUCUUUUUUCGAGGAAAAUUUCAACGCAGAGGGGGUGCUCCCCCUUUUAGCCCCCGAGGGAGGGUCGGGCUUUGCCGAGGCGAGGCCGACCCUUCCUUGAUGACUAAACUUCGCGUGGGUGCGAGGUGUAUAAACGACUUGAAAACAUCUUAAGGGUAGAAACGACGUAGCUGUUGGAUGUUCCAAGCGUUGCCGUAGACCUCGCCUUGGCUGUUGGCCAGCUUGUACGUUCCGGGCUUCAGAACUUUGGCGAUGACGAAUGGCCCCUCCCAGGGGGGCGUGAGCUUGUGCCUCCCUCGGGCGUCUUGCCGCAGCCGAAGCACCAGGUCGCCCACCUGGAGGUCUCGGGGCCGGACCCCUCGGGCGUGGUAGCGUCGCAGGGACUGCUGGUACCUCGCCGAGUGUAGUAAGGCCUUGUCCCGAGCCUCUUCCAGCUGGUCCAGCGAGUCUUCUCGGCUAGCUUGGUUGCUUUGAUCGCUGUAGGCCCUCGUCCUCGGGGAGCCGUAUUCCAGGUCAGUGGGCAAGACAGCCUCGGCCCCGUAGACCAGGAAGAACAGCGUGAAACCCGUGGCUCGGCUCGGUGUUGUCCUCAGGCUCCAAACCACCGAGGGGAGUUCCUUCAUCCAUCGCUUGCCGAACUUGUUGAGGUCGUUGUAAAUCCGAGGCUUGAGCCCUUGUAGAAUCAUGCCGUUGGCACGCUCUACUUGCCUAUUCGACAUGGGAUGAGCCACGGCGGCCCAGUCCACCCGGAUGUGGUGGUCCUUGCAGAAGUCCAAGAAUUUUCUACCGGUGAACUGGGUGCCGUUGUCGGUGAUGAUGGAGUUCGGGACCCCGAAGCGAUGGAUGAUGUUGGUGAAGAACGCCACCGCCUGCUCGGACCUGAUGCUGUUCAGAGGUCGGACCUCGACCCACUUGGAGAAUUUGUCUAUGGCGACCAGCAGGUGCGUGUAGCCCCCGGGCGCCUUCUGUAAGGGGCCGACGAGGUCCAGACCCCACACAGCAAAAGGCCAGGUGAUGGGUAUCGUCUGCAGAGCCUGAGCAGGCAGGUGGGUCUGUUUCGCAUAGAAUUGACACCCUUCGCAGCUGCGGACAAUUCUAGUGGCGUCAGCCACCGCCGUCGGCCAGUAGAAGCCUUGCCGGAAAGCAUUCCCGACGAGGGCUCGAGGCGCUGCGUGAUGGCCGCAAGCCCCCGAGUGUAUCUCUUGUAGGAGUUCUUGUCCUUCGGCGACGGAGAUACAUCGCUGGAGGAUGCCCGAAGGGCUGCGGUGGUAGAGCUCCUUCUCAUCGCCCAGCAAGACGAACGACUUGGCGCGUCGCGCUACCCGCCGAGCCUCGGCUCGGUCGAGGGGUAGCUCUCCUUGGCGGAGAUAUCGCAGGUACGGGGUCUGCCAAUUUCGAUCAGGCGUGACCCCGGUCUGCUCCCCCUCGAUGCGCAAUGCCUCGCCUUCGGUGGCCGAGGGUACCUCGGGCUGAUUCGAGGGUGCCUCGGGCCGAGCCGAGGGUGCCUCGGGUUGUGCCGAGGGUACCUUGGGCUGAACCGAGGUCGCCUCUGGCUCGGCCGAGUCGUCGAUCUUGACGGAGGGUUGAUGCAGAUCCCGGGAGAAGACGUCCGGGGGAACCGUUGCUCGCCCUGAGGCUAUUUUAGCCAGCUCGUCCGCGGUCUCGUUGUAGCGCCAAGCGACGUGGUUGAGCUCGAGCCCGUAGAACUUGUCUUCCAGGCGCCGAACCUCAUCGCAGUAGGCCUCCAUCUUCGGGUCGCGGCAGUGGGGGUUCUUCAUGACUUGGUCGAUGACGAGCUGCGAGUCACCGCGAGCGUCGAGGCGUCGGACCCCUAGCUCGAUGGCGAUCCGCAACCCAUUGACCAGAGCCUCGUACUCAGCCACAUUGUUGGACGCCGGGAAAUGGAGGCGCAGCACGUAGCGUAGGUGCUUCCCGAGGGGUGAGAUGAAGAGCAGGCCCGCGCCGGCUCCUGUCUUCAUCAGCGACCCGUCGAAAAACAUGGUCCAGAGCUCCGGUUGGAUCGGAGCCGUCGGUAGCUGAGUGUCGACCCAUUCGGCUACGAAGUCCGCCAAGACCUGGGACUUGAUGGCCUUCCGAGGGGCGAACGAGAUUGUCUCGCCCAUGAUUUCCACCGCCCACUUUGCAAUCCUGCCCGAGGCCUCUCGGCACUGGAUGAUCUCCCCCAGGGGGAAGGAUGACACCACAGUUACCGGAUGAGACUCGAAGUAGUGUCGUAACUUCCGCCUCGUCAGGAUCACUGCGUACAACAGCUUCUGAAUUUGUGGGUAGCGGAUCUUGGUUUCGGACAGUACCUCGCUGACGAAGUAGACUGGCCUCUGAACGGGUAAUGCAUGCCCCUCUUCUUGCCUCUCGACCACAAUCGCGGAGCUAACUACCUGAGUGGUCGCGGCGACGUAGACCAAGAGGGCUUCACCAUCAGCUGGAGGCACCAGGAUAGGCGCCUUUGUGAGGAGCGCCUUCAGGUUCUCGAGGGCUUCCUCGGCCUCAGGGGUCCAAGUGAAACACUCGGCCUUCCUUAAGAGGUGGUACAGAGGCAGACCUCUUUCGCCGAGGCGUGAGAUGAAGCGGCUUAGAGCCGCAAGACAUCCCAUGACCCUCUGUAUGCCCUUUAAGUCCUUGAUGGGCCCCAUGCUGGUGAUGGCUGCGAUUUUCUCCGGGUUGGCUUCGAUGCCUCGCUCGGAGACGAUGAACCCCAAGAGCAUGCCUCGGGGCACCCCGAAGACACACUUCUCAGGAUUGAGCUUGACGCCUUUCGCCUUGAGACAUCGGAAUGUCACUUCAAGGUCGGAGAGAAGGUCCGAGGUUUUCCUCGUCUUGACUAUGAUGUCAUCGACGUAGGCCUCGACCGUGCGACCGAUGUGUUCCCCGAACACAUGGUUCAUGCACCGCUGGUAUGUCGCGCCUGCAUUCCUCAAACCGAACGGCAUGGUGACAUAGCAGUACAUGCCGAAGGGCGUGAUGAAAGAAGUCGCAAGCUGGUCGGACUCUUUCAUCUUGAUCUGAUGAUACCCUGAGUAGGCAUCGAGGAAAGACAGGGUUUCGCACCCAGCAGUGGAAUCCACGAUUUGAUCGAUGCGAGGCAGAGGGUAGGGAACCUUCGGACAUGCUUUGUUGAGACCAGUGUAGUCUACACACAUCCGCCAUUUCCCCCCUUUCUUUCUCACAAGCACAGGGUUGGUAAGCCAUUCGGGAUGGAAUACCUCUUUGAUGAACCCUGCCGCCAUUAGCUUGUGGAUCUCCUCGCCUAUCGCUUUGCGCUUUUCCUCGUCGAAUCGGCACAGAGGCUGCUUGACGGGUCGGGCUCCGGCCCGAAUAUCCAGCGAGUGCUCGGCGACAUCCCUCGGUAUGCCGGGCAUGUCCGAGGGACUCCACGCGAAGACGUCGGCGUUCGCGUGGAGAAAGUCGACGAGCACUGCUUCCUAUUUGGGGUCGAGCCCGGAACCGAUCCGGAUCUGCUUGGAGACGUCGCCACUGGGGUCGAGGGGGACGGUCUUAACCGUCUCCGCUGGCUCGAAGUUGCCGGCAUGACGCUUCACGUCUGGCACCUCUUUGGAGAGGUUCUCCAGGUCGGCGAUGAGGGCCUCGGACUCGGCGAGGGCCUCGGCGUACUCCACGCACUCCACGUCGCAUUCGAACGCGUGUUUGUACGUGGGGCCGACGGUGAUGACCCCGUUGGGGCCCGGCAUCUUGAGCUUCAGGUAGGUGUAGUUGGGGACGGCCAUGAACUUCGCGUAGCAUGGCCUCCCCAAUACCGCGUGGUAGGUUCCUCGGAACCCGACCACCUCGAACGUUAGAGUCUCUCUUCGGAAGUUGGAGGGCGUUCCGAAGCAGACGGGUAGGUCGAGUCGUCCGAGGGGCUGGACGCGCUUCCCGGGAAUGAUCCCGUGGAAGGGCGCAGCGCCUGCCCGGACGGAGGAUGGAUCGACGCGCAGGAGCCUGAUGGUCUCGGCGUAGAUGAUGUUGAGGCUGCUGCCCCCGUCCAUAAGGACCUUGGUGAGCCUGACGUCGCCGAUGACGGGGUCGACGACGAGCGGGUAUUUCCCCGGGCUCGGCACGUGGUCGGGGUGGUCAGCUUGGUCGAAGGUGAUGGGCUUGUCGGACCAGUCCAGGUAGACUGGCGCCGCCACCUUCACCGAGCAUACCUCCCGGCGCUCUUGCUUGCGAUGCCGAGCCGAGGCAUUCGCCGCAUGCCCACCGUAGAUCAUGAAGCAGUCGCGGACCUCGGGGAACUCUCCUGCUUGGUGAUCUUCCUUCUUGUCGUCGUCGCGGGCCCUGCCACCCUCCGCGGGUGGCCCGGCCCUGUGGAAGUGACGCCGAAGCAUGUCGCACUCCUCAAGGGUGUGCUUGACGGGCCCCUAAUGAUAGGGGCACGGCUCCUUGAGCAUCUUGUCGAAGAGGUUAGCACCUCCGGGGGGCUUCCGACGGUUCUUGUACUCGGCGGCGGCGACAAGGUCCGCGUCGGCGGCUUCGCGUUUCGCUUGCGACUUCUUCUUGCCUUUCUUCUUGGCGCCGCGCUGAGUAGACGCCUCGGGAGCCUCUUCCGAUGGGCGGCCCUGGGGCUGCUUGUCCUUUCGGAAGGUAGCCUCGACCGCCUCCUGGCCAGAGGCGAACUUGGUGGCGAUGUCCAUCAGCUCGCUCGCCCUGGUGGGGGUCUUGCGACCCAACUUGCUCACCAGGUCGCGACAGGUGGUGCCGGCAAGGAACGCGCCGAUGACAUCCGAGUCGGUGAUGUUGGGCAGCUCGGUGCGCUGCUUCGAGAAUCGCCGGAUGUAAUCCCGGAGAGACUCUCUCGGCUGCUGCCGGCAGCUUCGGAGGUCCCAGGAAUUUCCGUGGCGCACGUAUGUGCCCUGGAAGUUUCCGGUGAAGGCUUGGACCAGGUCAUCCCAGCUGGAGAUCUGCCCCGGAGGCAGAUGCUCCAACCAGGCGCGAGCAGUGUCGGAGAGGAACAGGGGGAGGUUGCGUAUGAUGAGGUUGUCAUCGUCCGUUCCACCCAGUUGGCAGGCCAGGCGGUAGUCCGCGAGCCACAGUUCCGGUCUCGUUUCCCCCGAGUACUUUGUGAUAGUAGUUGGGGGUCGGAACCGGGUAGGGAACGGUGCCCGUCGGAUGGCCCGGCUGAAGGCUUGCAGACCGGGUGGUUCGAGCGAGGGACUCCGAUCCUCCCCGCUGUCGUAGCGUCCCCCACGCCUGGGGUGAUAGCCUCGGCGCACCCUCUCGUCGAGGUGGGCUCGACGGUCGCGAUGAUGGUGCUCGUUGCCGAGGCGGCCCAGGGCCGCAGGCGCGGUGUUGCGCGUGCGCACGGUGUAGACCGAGGCUUCCCGCAUGAAUCGGGAAGUCGCGGCAUGAGGUUCCGAGGGGUAUCCCUGCCUUCGGGAGGCAGAGCUCUCGGCCCGUCGGACCGUAGCGCCUUCCAGGAGAUUCUUGAGUUCUCCCUGGAUUCGCCGACCCUCGGUGGUUGAUGGCUCCGGCAUCGCGCGGAGAAACAUCACUGCCGCCGCCAGGUUCUGACCGACCCCGCUGGAUGUAGGCUGUGGCCUGACCCUGACGUCAUCGGCGACACGGUGCUGGAGACCCUGAGGCAGGUGACGUAUUUCUCCGGCCGGGGGUUGACCCACCCAUGCCUGCCCGGCGUCCCGGCGGAUCGGCUCAAGCGCUCCUGCUCCCUCGUCGAUCCUGGCCUGCGCCCCGCGGACUUGCUCGAGCUGUGGGUCGUAACCCCCCGCCGGAACGGGGACCACAGCUAGCUCCCGCGGGAUGUCGGCGCGAGGCACCGGCCUAGGGAGAUCACCGUCCUCUGGCAUGCCGAGAUGAUUUCCUUCGGAGUGACCCCCUAGAUCGACGUGGAAACAUUCGCGGCUUGGGCCGCAGUCCUCGUCGUCGAGGCUGCGGCUACCGUCGGAACAGUCGGAGAGGCAGAAGUCACAUACGGUCAUGAAGUCCCGCAUGCCACUGGGGUUGCCAAGUCCAGAGAAAUCCCAACAGAUGCUGGGGUCGUCGUCUUCCUCGGUCCCAGAGGGCCCGUAGGUGGAGACAUCCGUCAACCGGUCCCAAGGCGACCGCGUGCGAGACCCCAAAGGGUUUGGACUCGCCUCUACGAGAAUGCCCGCCAAAGCAAGAUUGCUAGGCGGGUUGAGGCUGAAUCCAAAAGACGUAGGAUGGGAAUCAGUCGGUACCUCUUGAUCGUCGAGCGGCGAUGAAGUCACGUCGGGGACUGACUGCACCGUCGCCUCAGGUACGAGGGCGAUGCCCAGCAAACUUUCCGCAAGCGCGCUGGCGUCCUCCAUUUGCUCGGGUUUGGCGUGUCGCGGGGAGACGACGCUCGUCUUCGUCUCAGACGCGAGGUCGAUGCCCGGUGCACCCCUCGUUGGGACGCUGGGGACGUCAACUCGCUCGACAGCCGACGAGGCGCGGCCUCCUGCUUGGCCCUGGUUGCCCCGCCUCCUCCUCCGUUGGCGGGGGAGAGGACAGAGCGAGCUUGAACGUUGUUCUUCCACCACGCGGGGAAGACGUCGUCGAUUCCGCCGCCGGCGGGCGGGUUGUUGACCGCCUUUGUCGUUGUCGCGCGGCGGUGGAAGGAGUAUCAUGUCGUAGCUGCCAUCGAAGGACAUGAACUCAAGACUCCCGAAACGGAGCACCGUCCCGGGUCGGAGAGGUUGCUGGAGACUGCCCAUCUGGAGCUUGACGGGAAGCUGUUCGUCAACACGCAGCAGGCCCCUACCUAGCGCGCCAACUGUCGGCGUUUCGAGACCGGGGGUCCCUCAGGCCGACGAGUGAGUGCCGCGUGCCCCAGCCCAGAUGGGUCGAGCGCGUGGGCGAGCACAAAGGGGGGAGAGGAGCGAGGCGGCCGGAGUCCAGCGUGAGAGUGGUGGGAAUCCCGCGGCCUUCGUGUUCGUCCCGCGCCCAGGUCGGGUGCGCUUGCAGUAGGGGGUUACAAGCGUCCACGCGGGUGAGGGAAGCGAGCGGCCCCAAGGGAGCGCCUGUCUCGUCCUCGUCCUCGCGCGGCCAACCCUCUCUAAGAGGGCCCUGGUCCUUCCUUUUAUAGGCGUAAGGAGAGGAUCCAGGUGUACAAUGGGGGUGUAGCGAGGUGCUACGUGUCUAGCGGGGGAGAGCUGACGCCCUAAGUACAUGCCAAUGUGGCAGCCGGAGAGAUCUUGGCACCCUGCUGGUGUGAUGUCGUGGCCGUCGGAGGAGCGACGGUGCUUGGCGGAGGGACAGCUGUUGGAGCGGUCGAGUCCUUGCUGACGUCCGCCUGCCUCCGUAAGAGAGCUGGGGGCCGCCGUCGUCACAGAGCGUGCGAGGGCGCCAUCAUUGCCUAUCUGGUAGAGCUAGCCAGAUGGGACACCGGUCUUGUUCCCUACGACCCGAGGCGGCUCGGGGUAGGGUGAUGAUGGUGCCUCCUGUUGACGUGGCUGGCCCGCGCCCUAGGUCGGGCGACGUGGAGGCUCCUCCGAAGCCGAGGUCGAGUCUGUCUUCCGUGGCCGAGGCCGAGCCCCUGGGUCGGGCGAGGCGGAGGUCGUUCGGCGGAGGCCAGGGCGGAGUCCGAGCCCUGGGGUCGGGCGAAGCGGAGUUCGUCGUCUUCUGGGACUGAGCCCGAAUCCGAGCCCUGGGUCGGGCGGAGCGGAGUUCGCCGUCUUCCGGGACUUAGCCCGAGUCCGAGCCCUGGGUCGGGCGGAGCGGAGUUCGCCGUCUUCCGGGACUUAGCCCGAGUGUAAUACUCAAAAGUAUAAUAAAAGUGGAUAGAGAUAAACCCAUUAGUUUGUGGCCUCUACUAUUCAUUGCAUGUGAUCAACACUAGUUAAAAGUGGGUAAUUAGAACCAAGAACACCUAAAUAACAUGUGCAUCAUGCUGGAUCUUACUUUGUGUGCAUUUUGUGAUGAUAUAAAAAUAUGGUAAACAAAAAAAAAAUUAUGUUAAUACCCCAAUGGGAAGUUAAAUCCUAAACGAAAUUCUAGAGUUUGGAAAAGAAAUUCUAGAAGUGAAACCAAAAAGAGAAGGGAUAUAAAAAAAAUAAAUAAUAUAUAUAUAAAUAAAUAUAUUCAGAAUUAAUAUCCCUAAUUUCACAAAUAUAAGUUGAAGUGAUGAGCCAUAGAAGUUUGAAUUUAAGUUUGAAUUCAAAUUUAACUUGGAAAUGGAGAAAAGAAAAUAGGGAAUAAAAUGGAAAAAAGAUUAAAACCCUGUUUGGGCCGGCUAAGCCCUUUUCGGCCCACUAUCCAUCUCCCACCGCGCAGCCCAGGUCGUCAAUCUCCAUACCGCGCGCGCGCCCGACAUGUGGGGCUCGGCCGUCAGCGCAUGGCCGCCCACUUGCCUCACUGCGCCGCGGGCCCCAUGCGUCAUUCACCGCUGCCUCGCGCUCGUGAUUUCCCUCGCCGCCCGGUGGGCCCUCCUAGUCAGAUCGACCAUCUCCUCGGUUGGUUGGGUCAACCCGCUCCUUCCGCCGCUGCAUGCUCGCCGGCCGCGUGGACUGUUGCGGUAUCUCGGUCACCCGCGUGUCCAUAAAACCGGACGUAACCUCUCUCUCCUCCCCCUCGUGUUCGCGUGCGCCGCCAAGCGUAAAUUUCCCCUGUCCAGAGAAUACCCUGUGUCAGUCGCCGUCGCGCGCUCGGCCGUGGGUGGAAAUCCUGUUCCUGCGCCUUCUAGCCAGUGCUGUGAGGUCAGAGAGCUCCGCCCGAACCUCCUAUUCGCGAUUGCCGUAGUGCCGUGCGAGGGGACGGGCCGUGUGCCUCCAAUUUCUCGCCGUCGAAUCGUUCUCCGCCGCGGGACUACAGCGCGUCGUGGGCAGGAUUCCUGGGAGCUUGAUCUACGGUAAGGCACCCACCAUUGCAUUCAUUAUCUCUUCCCUACUGCGUAGCCGUGGGCAAUUUGGAAAUUGGGGCACCUGGGUGCCAGGUAGGCUCCGCGCCGGCAAGGUCCGGCCGCUGGGAUUCGUCGCGCCGCUGGGGUCCGAUGCUGGAGGUAGGAGAGGCAUCUUGGGCCGUUGGAUCAGUUCCCCACGGUUGAGAUUAGAAUCUGCGUACCGUUUCACUCAGGGUGAUCAUGGCCAUUAGAUUUGGAUCGUAGGGUUCACGAUUGAUUAUGACGUAGAUUCAGCGUGGACCGUGCGAUUGAAAUCCGAGGGCCCGCAUUCCAUACCGCUUCAAUAUGAACCGUGAUCUAAUCUGGAUUGUUUAAAUUGAAUCGGGCGGCCAGGGUCGUUGGAUACCCCUUCGGUCGGGUCGUUUUGCAAAAGAACCCUCGGGGAAAAUGGGAAUCAACCCGCAGUCCGCUCGGGUGUCUCCCUGAGUCUGUGGAAUUCUUGCACCGUAGCCCCUGCUCUUUCUGGUAUUUGAGGCCUAGUCCAGAGAACAGAAAAACCAGAGAAAUGAAUUUAUAAAUAGAUUUUUAAUAUUAAAUUAAUGGCAAAAACUUGUUUAAUUCACAGAAAAUGCAUAUGAACUCCAAAUUGACCCAUUCCAGUUCCUAAAUUUUUAUAAUAUUAUUGCCUAACCAUUAGUGCCUCUGUUUUAACAUGAAAGAUGAUUUAAAAGUUAUCUAGCACUUAAUCUUGUAUUAAGCACAUAAAGCAUUAGAAAAUCCAUAACUUAAAAUCCGUUACUCCAAAAUUAAUAAUUCCAGUUCCUGUGAUCUCAUUUUAAUGUGUAGAUUUUUACUGUGUAUUUUAUUUACAUGCUUUGUGUAAUGUUAAUUCUUGCUAUACUAUGUAUGUAUUGUGUUGAUGCGAGUAGACGAGCAAGCUACAGAGGAUUCUGAGGUUCAGCAAGUAGAGGUAGCUGAGCAGGAGCUCAUUG